This 253-nucleotide ribosomal RNA is filed under the name uncultured bacterium. Its description in RNAcentral is "partial 16S ribosomal RNA". It matches the Rfam family "Bacterial small subunit ribosomal RNA", at positions 524 to 776 of the family's 1533-position model. The record is from RNAcentral. RNAcentral also lists the same sequence under 1 other name.
UACGAAGGGGGCUAGCGUUGUUCGGAUUUACUGGGCGUAAAGCGCACGUAGGCGGACUUUUAAGUCAGAGGUGAAAUCCCAGGGCUCAACCCUGGAACUGCCUUUGAUACUGGAAGUCUUGAAUUCGGGAGAGGUGAGUGGAACUGCGAGUGUAGAGGUGAAAUUCGUAGAUAUUCGCAAGAACACCAGUGGCGAAGGCGGCUCACUGGCCCGAUAUUGACGCUGAGGUGCGAAAGCGUGGGGAGCAAACAGG